CCUACGGGUGGCAGCAGUGGGGAAUAUUGCACAAUGGGGGAAACCCUGAUGCAGCGACGCCGCGUGAGUGAAGAAGUAAUUCGUUAUGUAAAGCUCUAUCAGCAGGGAAGAAAAUGACGGUACCUGAGUAAGAAGCACCGGCGCACUACGUGCCAGCAGCCGCGGCAAUACGUAGGGCGCAAGCGUUAUCCGGAUUUACUGGGCGUAAAGGGAGCGUAGACGGGAGUGCAAGUCUGGAGUGAAAGGCGGGGGCUCAACCCCCGGACUGCUCUGGAAACUGUACGGCUUGAGUGCAGGAGAGGUAAGUGGAAUUCCGAGUGUAGCGGUGAAAUGCGUAGAUAUUAGGAGGAACUCCAGUGGCGAAGGCGGCUUACUGGACUGUAACUGACGUUGAGGCUCGAAAGCGUGGGGAGCAAACAGGAUUAGAUACCCUUGUAGUC
This 440-nucleotide ribosomal RNA is filed under the name uncultured bacterium. RNAcentral describes it as "partial 16S ribosomal RNA". It matches the Rfam family "Bacterial small subunit ribosomal RNA", at positions 338 to 795 of the family's 1533-position model. The record is from RNAcentral.